ACCCUGGGAAACAGUGUGGCUAUGACUUGGAGCUGCUCACCAGUUCCAGUCAUUCUGUGGUUGAGAGCUGCUCCCUAUGGAUGUUAAUUCUUCUCUAUUUUAGAUUUUCCACAGGUGUGGGCCCCAUUAGCUCUGGCCACCUGAGAAAGCCCUCAGGCAAAGAGUCGCAGGUGAAAGCCAGCAGUUAGAGGUUCACAGAAAUGAGUGCAGAAGCAUCUUCAGUUGGAGAGCCAUUGCCUCUUGCUGUGAAAUAUUUGGGAAUCUUCAGAAACCAUGAAGAAUAACCUGCUAAAGAUUUUCUUGUAUUGGACAAUUAAUAUAAUUCAUAUACGGUACGGGGGAAAUUUUUGGCUCCCAAGUGAAUGGGAAUGAGGAAGAGAAAGAGAGUGGAAGAACAUUUGUUUUACUGAGGGAAGUUGGGGAAAAGCCAAUGAAAUAGAGACAGCAAGAGAGAGAAAAGAAGGGAGGAAGGAAGGAGAAUUGCUUGAAGUGGAUAACAGAACUGUGAGCAAAGAAAGAAUAGGAAGUGUGAGUACAGCCUGGAGACAGACUGAGGAGACCAUAGACAUCUUCCAUUUGUUUGUAUCUUUUUAAAUUCUUUCAGAAACGUUUUGUGGUUUGCAGUGUCUGAGUGUUUUGUCUUCUUGGUUAAUUUCUUGGUGGUUUUAUAUAUAUGUAUAUAUAUAUAUAUUUGUUGAUGAUUGUUUUCUUAAUCUCUUGGUUAAUUUCUUAGUGGUUUUAUAUAUAUAUAUAUAGUUGUUAAUGUUAUUGUUUUCUUAAUCUCAAUCACAUUGUUGGUGUGUUGAAAUACAAUUUUUUCAUGUUGAUUUUGUAUCUUGCAACUUUGCUAAAUUCAUGUAUUAGUUCAAACAGUUUGUGUAUGUGUAAUCUUUGGAAUUUUCUGCACAUGAGAUCCUGUUGUCUGUGAACUGAGAUAGUUUUGUUUCUUUCUUGUCCAUUUGGAUGCCUUUUGUUUAUUUUCCUUGCCUGGUUCCUCUGGCUGGAUCUUUCAAUGCUAUGUCAAGCUACUUCAAGCUUUUCAAAUUUCACCAUUGAGUAUAAUGGUGCUGUGGAUUAUUCAUAUAUGGCCUUUAUUAUGUUCAGAUUGUUUCCUUCUAUUCCUGGUUUGUCAUGGGUUUUUGUCAUGAAUUGAUCUUGAAUUUUGUCUAAUGCUUUUUCUGCAUCAAAUAAUACGAUUGUGGUUUUUCCAUCAUUCUACAAGUGUGAUGUAUUACACUGUUUGUUGUAAUAUGUUGUUUAUUUCACAUUGUUUGUGUUACACUAAUUGUUGUAAUCAACAAAUGUUGACUCA
RNAcentral lists this long non-coding RNA (1312 nucleotides) under Homo sapiens (human). Its description in RNAcentral is "long intergenic non-protein coding RNA 534". Lineage: Eukaryota; Metazoa; Chordata; Mammalia; Primates; Hominidae. The record is from RNAcentral.